UCCAGGAAACAGUGAGUGUGGUCCUGGUGAGCCUGCACUGCAUGUAAGGAUCAGGCAGAGCCCAAAAGGAAGUUGGCCCCUGAUUAGUGACCAACGAGCUGAUCCUAGAGGGGCACUGGGGCUAUUUGUGAUUGACAAAGGAGACUGUUGCUGAUAAAGCUGACUGCUUGUUGCUGAUAAUGGCAUUGGCAUGACUUCUGGGUGAAUCCUGCCUCCCCAAAGGCUGUUGAAAGGUUGUACUCCCAAAGGUCAACAGACAGAAUGUCCCAUUCUCUGAAGAUGGGCCUCAGAACACUGCAUUUCAGGGGCUACUCAUGAUUCUGGGAGAAAUACCUGCUGAGGUGAUCAGCCAACUGCUUCUGGCUCCUGGGGCUCCAGGAUCGCCAGUGGCACCCUUACGAAGCUGAACUCAGGAGAUAGACAGACACAUUUUAACCAGCUUUGAAGUGGAUGAAGGCGCAAUCUCUCAGGGUGGACUAAAUAACUGCAUGUGCCCAGGCACACAGACUGAAGUUGAAUGACGAGAUUGGAAGGACAGACACAGAUGAUGAAUUGUUUGGAAUCGCUUGUGCAGGGGAAAAGCUCUCAAACUUGUAGAGUCUAGUAUGGCCCCGAUGAACUCCAUUUUUUUCUGUUCACUUUCCCCUGUUCAAAAUCAGUCCCAACAACUUGAUGAGAUUCAGCAUGAAGUGAAGUUUAAAGACUUGGUCUUCAAAUUUGCCCUCGCUAACCAAUCAUCCAGAACAGCUCAGCUGCCAGCAAAAGCAGGUGCUCUCCACCGUAUAUGAGCUCCAGAGGAAAUAUUUAGGAAAUGGAAAACCUGAUGCUUGGCAACAGAUCCUGUAAAGUUAUCUGGACGCUGCUUAUAACAAUUUUAGGCUAUACCAGCUGUCUGCCUGUGGGUGAUGAUUCUGUUUGCACAGCAGAGGAAGUUGCUAAGUACAGCAUACUCUUUGUAGGGAAAUGGAGUCAGGCUGCUUUCCCUAAGCAGUAUCCCCUUUAUAGGCCUCCAGCACAGUGGUCUUCCUUGCUAGGUGUUACCCAUAGUUCUGACUAUAACAUGUGGAAAAAGGAUGAAUAUGCCAGCAAUGGUGUGCGUGAUUUUGCUGAAAAGGGUGAAGCAUGGACAUUAAUGAAGGAAAUAGAAGCAGCUGGAGAAAAAAUUCAAAGUGUGCAUGGAAUCUUCUCAGCUCCUGCCAUUUCCAGUGGUACAGGACAAACCUUCACGGAAUUAGAAGCACAUUCAAGACACUCCUUAGUUUCUUUUAUUGUACGAAUUGUGCCCAGCCCUGAUUGGUUUGUGGGUGUUGACAGUCUAAAUCUAUGUGAAGGAGAUCAUUGGAAAGAACAAGAAACAGUAGAACUUUUUCCAUAUGAUGCUGGAACAGACAGUGGUUUCACAUUUUCCUCACCAAACUUUGCCACUAUUCCACAGGACACUGUUACAGAAAUCACUUGUUCCUCUCCAAGUCACCCAGCAAACUCAUUUUAUUAUCCCAAGCUAAAAAGUUUGCCACCUAUUGCUCGAGUAACCAUUGUAAAACUUAAAAGAAACCAGCUGGGUCUUCCUGGUCCUGAGCCUAACCUGACUGCUAUAGGCAAUGAAAUAGAUGACUCUGUCUCAGAAACACCACUGGACUGUGAGAUUUCACUGUGGUCUUCCUGGGGUCUUUGCAGAGGUACUUGUGGAAAGAUAGGGACCAAAACCAGAACUCGUUAUGUACGCCUUCAAGCUGCCAAUAAUGGAACUCCUUGUCCAAACCUGGAUGAAGAAAUAGAAUGUGAACCAGACAAUUGUGUCUGAAAUCUCCUUUCCAGUGGAAUAAAGAAUAGACAAUAAUUUAGAUCAUUUAAAUUAAGGACUCAGAUGAGGAUCCUGAUGAGUCCUGAAGAAAUUAGAACUUUUAUCAGCAUAGUACAUACUGGUCCUCCAAACACUGAAUAAACAAUUAAAACAAACACUUGGCUCCAGUCGAAUACAGCUAAGUAUUUUUAAAAAAACCCUAACUUUUGUCAUUUCUGGAUGUCUUGUAUUCUUCUGAUUGUCACUCUCCUGUCCUCCAUGCCUCCUCGUUUCACUUAUUCUUGUUUAUAACAUCUUUUUUUUUUCUCCACGUUCCUCCUGUGUCCACAUUCGUACAGGUUCAUUAGCGCUCAAAAAUCCUGAUUUUGGGGAGAAAAGAACUUUUCUCAGGUCUCUCCACAUUCUGUAUUAUGUUUGUCCUUUUCCAUUCUUUGUUUAUUUUCUAUACAGAAGUCUUCCUUAUUUUCUGUUUCGGGUUUUUUUUUUUAAUUUAACUGUAUAAAUACCUAGAUAAACAAUUACAUCCAGGGUAUAAGAACAACUUUAAAAUGUUUUAAAAUAUACACGUGAAGUAUGCUUUCUGCUUUUAUAUAUCCUGUUCCCUCGCUCCUUCCCCAAUCCAUUUUCAUUGCUCUUUGCCCCAUUCAUUUCAUGGCUGUGAGACAGCCAUGUUACUGCAAGGCAUGAAUUUAGCCUCCAGCAUCAUUCCUAUUAAUGGACAGAAUUUGAACUGUUGACUGAUAAAUGGCUAAAGGCUCUAAGUCCUAUUACUAGUCCAUGUUCCUGAACUGAUGAUAGAAUCCUAAGUGAAAACAUAAUAUGUGAUAGUUACAAACACUAGGAAUGAGAGGAUAAGGAGAAACUUGUAAUAUUUUCCACGUGAUCUCAUGACGACAGUUGUAACGUAUAACAACAUGAAAUAUAUAAUAAAGGCCAGAUUUUUCCAAGUACUCAGCACCUGCAAAUUGAGGCUGGUUUUUCAAAAGCACUCAACCACUGCUUCCAGUAUGGCAUUUAUGUAACCCCCUUGGGGUUGAGAGAGCUUGGCCCUUUAAAACCUUGUCCGGAGGCAGAGGGAGUGCUGAUUGUUGCAGCAAGAGGAAGUGUUGGUUAUUCCAGGGGUGUGGAGAGAGGUAGAGUGACAGGAUAGGUCUGUCUGUUGCUACAGAGAGAACGACUAUAAGAAGCAGGCCCUCACAUAGUGAAGCAACCGAGAAUCAGCCCGAAGCCUGGGAGGGACAGAAUGACCAACUAGGGACGCCCCAGGACAGGAGACAGGAGGAACACCAUGUUAAGGAGGAAUCACUUGAGAAGGACAAACCGGAUCUGGACUCAGUAUCACAGUUGCCCAGAGCUGGAUGGGGCCAUCAGGAUGAAGGAUAGUCCCUUGACACAGGAGGUGGGAAUCCUGAGAGGACAGAAGCGACUUUGUCUGUACAAAGUGCAAACUGGUCUCCAUAUUGGAAGAGAAUGUUCAAGGCCUGGAGAAACAAGUAUCAACCCUGCGUUGCAUAAGAGAAACUGAAGAUUUCCUGGACAGACGUCAGGAUAUGCUUCUACGGACACAACAUUCUGAAGAUUCAGAGUAGGCUGCGCAGCGGGGACAGAAGGACGGUGAAGAAAUUUGGCAGCAUGUGACCUCCAGAAGAAGAAAGGGGAGCGUCCAUGUACCAGCAACGCAGAUACAGGCUUUUGUGAGCAGUAAAUACAACAUCUGAAGAGGCUCUUAGAAGAAAGAGAUUAUGGACAGUGAGCAAUCAGUGGUUGUGACCUGCACAGGAUAUGCCAUGUUUGUCUUUCUCCCAGAGGAUAGAAGCAACUUCGUCUGUACGAAGUGCAAGCUGGUCUCCAUAUUGGAAGAGAAGGUUAAAGGACUAGAGACCCAAGUAUCGACCCUGCAUUGCCUCAGAGAAAAUGAAGAUUUUUUGGAUAGAAGUCGGCAUUUGGUAUUGCAGGCACAGCAUGCUGAAGAAUCUGAGAGGGCAGUGCAGAAAGGGGAAGAAAAUUGGCAGCAUGUGACCUCCAGAAGAUGAGGAGAACCCAUGUAUCUCCACUGCAGAUACAGGGGAAAGAGAGGAGAAAUGCAUAAUAGAAGACAUUCCAAGUGAUACCUUGAUUACUGGGAGUUACAAGGUACAGCAAUGGGACAUACAUGAACACAGGUUUCUUGAAUCUGCU
Molecule: non-coding RNA, 3982 nt
Organism: Caretta caretta (loggerhead turtle)
Lineage: Eukaryota; Metazoa; Chordata; Testudines; Cheloniidae
Source: RefSeq, a predicted model, not a curated record